UUUACCACUCAUGACACAAAUAUUUAAAAGUCAUGAAACAAGCAAGAGCAUUGUUAUUUUGUAAUAAAUUUGGGAACUAAGAAUUGGACGUCGUACUUGGGUGAAUGUCUUUUCUUGCAAUUGAAUAGUUUUUUGAAACUAAAGCCGAAAAUGAAAAAACUUUCUCCUCGAAGAGGAGCUGCCCAGCAAAUAAUCAGUGAGGCAGGUGCAUCAUUUUAUUGAAGGGAAAAUAUUAUUAUUAUUAUUUUAAAUUAUCAUUACCUCCACAGGCACGUUCAGUGGCAUUUUUUGGUUGGUUACUUUAUAUCUAUGAUUUCUGUAUAAUGUCACGUCUCCUUAAUUUCACCUUAGCAUCAUUACUCAUGCAGUCAGUCAGUCAGUCAGGUUGGAAGCAGCUGUCUCUCUUCUGGGCUCCCCCUUUCAUUUCGUACGGUGCACGAGGAGCCAUAUUUCAACUUUGAUUCCUCCGUUACCGCAUCGAUCUUACCUCGUUUUCCUUCUGUGGUGAAGAGUACUCUUGGAGGCAUCAGUAUUCAUUGAUCAUAUCAGCUACUCAGAAACUAUUUUUAUAGCUGGUUCUAACAGAGAACAGAGCUAGCAGGAACAGAGAUGUGAAUAAAUUUUCUUCUUGAUUAUAAUAUUUUUCUUGCCAUAGUAAUGUUACGAGGAGCAGCAUAAACUCCACAUUUGAAAUAGAAGUCGCCUGGCCCUCGACCCUUGGUGGAAUACUUUUGCUCGCCAUCAACGUAUACAGUCACCCAAUCUCCAU
Molecule: long non-coding RNA, 769 nt
Organism: Populus trichocarpa (black cottonwood)
Lineage: Eukaryota; Viridiplantae; Streptophyta; Magnoliopsida; Malpighiales; Salicaceae
Exons: 3
Source: RefSeq, a predicted model, not a curated record